Molecule: ribosomal RNA, 254 nt
Filed under: uncultured bacterium
Lineage: Bacteria
Description: partial 16S ribosomal RNA
Rfam family: Bacterial small subunit ribosomal RNA
Source: RNAcentral
UACGGGGGGAGCAAGCGUUGUUCGGAUUUACUGGGCGUAAAGGGCGCGUAGGCGGUCACUACAAGUCAGUUGUGAAAUCUCUGGGCUUAACUCAGAACGGUCAACUGAUACUGUCGGACUAGAGUGCAGAAGGGGCAACUGGAAUUCUCGGUGUAGCGGUGAAAUGCGUAGAGAUCGGGAGGAACACCUGUGGCGAAGGCGGCCCCCUGGGCCGCGCCUGACGCUGAGACGCGAAGGCUAGGGGAGCGAACGGG